GUGAGGAAUAUUGCGCAAUGGAGGCAACUCUGACGCAGCCAUGCCGCGUGCAGGAAGAAGGCGCUACGCGUUGUAAACUGCUUUUAACCGGGAAGAAACCCCAGGACGUGUCCUGGGUUGACGGUACCGGAGGAAUAAGCACCGGCUAACUUCGUGCCAGCAGCCGCGGUACUACGAAGGGUGCAAGCGUUAUCCGGCUUCAUUGGGUUUAAAGGGUGCGUAGGCGGAGCGUUAAGUCAGUGGUGAAAUCCUGCAGCUUAACUGUAGACUUGCCAUUGAUACUGGCGCUCUUGAGUGCGCUUGAAGUGGGCGGAAUGUGCCGUGUAGCGGUGAAAUGCUUAGAUAUGGCACAGAACACCAAUUGCGAAGGCAGCUCACUAAGGCGAUACUGACGCUGAGGCACGAAAGCGUGGGGAUCGAACAGGAUUAGAAACCCUUGUAGUCC
Molecule: ribosomal RNA, 445 nt
Filed under: uncultured bacterium
Lineage: Bacteria
Description: partial 16S ribosomal RNA
Rfam family: Bacterial small subunit ribosomal RNA
Source: RNAcentral